RNAcentral lists this long non-coding RNA (1529 nucleotides) under Homo sapiens (human). RNAcentral's name for it is "HSALNT0191139". Lineage: Eukaryota; Metazoa; Chordata; Mammalia; Primates; Hominidae. The record is from RNAcentral.
UUAUUUUAAUGCACAGUAUGAGAAAUGAACUUUUUUAAAUCAACUGAUUUGUAUGGAAAAUGACACGGCAAACAACUUUGCUAGAAACUGGUCCAAAGAUCGACAGCACGUGGGAAUGCUUAACAGGGGUGGUGAUCAGGGACACGUUUCCUAUGAGAGUAAGAAAAAAGUCAAUAGUGAAAAAUGAAGAGCAUGAUUUUAUCCAAAGUAUUAUACUAAAUACAAACACAACUAGAAUCCUGUAUUAAAACUGUUAUAACUCUGCAAUGGUUUGCAUGUGUGUCCCCUAUAACACUCACAUUGAAACUGAAUCCCCAAUGUGGCAGUAUUGGAAGUUGGGCUUUUAAGAGGUGACCAAGUUAUGUCAUGGACUAAUGGGUUAUAUAGGAUGGGACUGCUGGCUUUAGGUGAGGAGGAAGACAGACCUGAGCUAGCCACUCAGCCCCCUCCUCUGUGUGAUGCCCUGCACCACAUCAGGACUGUUCUGCCUUGGGACUCUGCAGACACCCCCACCAACAAGAAGCACCUUCUAUUCUCAUCUUUUAUUCUUUGAUGACCAUACAAUAAGGGGGCAUAGAACAAUCUUUUGGAAAGAUGGGAUAAGGGUACUAGUAAAUUUGUACUUAAUGCUUGUUCAAGGAUCUAAAGCUUGAGAAACACUGCUUUUAGAGGCAAACACAACAGUUACGAGAAGCUGAAGAAGCUUAAGAACAGAUCAAAGAGUACAGCAUUAUACAGGGAUCAUAUAGAGAGAUAAACUUUUCACCCUUGGUAGCUUAUGGGGGGACUAGGAUGCUAACCAUUGUCAAGAGUUAUGAAGCAGCUGUCACAGGGCACUGAUCUGAAAAAAAAAGUCUUCUGGAGAUUAAUAAGGAAUAUGAAAAAGAAGCCCAUGGUCUGGUAGGUCUGGAAGGCUGAGUUAAAAUUCAGUUUCUUUAUUGCAAAUUACUCAGAAUUUGCUAAUAAAAGAUACCUGAUCUCUAAAACAGUAUCAGACCAAACAAGGUAUUAUACAUUUUUUAAGCGUUAUUUCAACUGUGGGUGAGGGCACUGACUUCUUGUGAAGAUUUCUGGGAGUAGGUGUGGCUAUAUGACCUUGCCCUAGAACACUUUAGUUACAGAACUCAGUUUCCUUUUGCUAUCAUUCUGUUUAAAGACAAUAGAAAGCAUCACAGCAUCUACUGUCCUCAGUACUUGACCUUUCCAAGCAUGGCUCUUUCUGUGCCUUUUCAAUCCUAAGAGCUACCUCAGCUGCCCAUCCCUCUUUCCCCUUAAGUUUUUCUGGCUUAAGUGUUAAGAGUUGUGAUAUUUUAAAUAACUUACAUACUUUUAUCCAGGCAAAACUGUCUCUGCUUUUCAUUAACUCUAAUUAUAAAAUAAAUACAGCUCCCUAUUUUGUUUUGCUGUUAGUAAUUUUUUCUGAGAAAAGUGUUAGGGUACCUGGGUGCCGCUUUGAUGAUGUUGUCCACACGCAGAAUCACCUCUGCUGCUUCAGCUGCACUCAGAAGAACCUGUCGCUUCACUUGAAA